GAUGAACGCUGGCGGCGUGCCUAAUACAUGCAAGUCGAGCGAACGGACGAGAAGCUUGCUUCUCUGAUGUUAGCGGCGGACGGGUGAGUAACACGUGGAUAACCUACCUAUAAGACUGGGAUAACUUCGGGAAACCGGAGCUAAUACCGGAUAAUAUUUUGAACCGCAUGGUUCAAAAGUGAAAGACGGUCUUGCUGUCACUUAUAGAUGGAUCCGCGCUGCAUUAGCUAGUUGGUAAGGUAACGGCUUACCAAGGCAACGAUGCAUAGCCGACCUGAGAGGGUGAUCGGCCACACUGGAACUGAGACACGGUCCAGACUCCUACGGGAGGCAGCAGUAGGGAAUCUUCCGCAAUGGGCGAAAGCCUGACGGAGCAACGCCGCGUGAGUGAUGAAGGUCUUCGGAUCGUAAAACUCUGUUAUUAGGGAAGAACAUAUGUGUAAGUAACUGUGCACAUCUUGACGGUACCUAAUCAGAAAGCCACGGCUAACUACGUGCCAGCAGCCGCGGUAAUACGUAGGUGGCAAGCGUUAUCCGGAAUUAUUGGGCGUAAAGCGCGCGUAGGCGGUUUUUUAAGUCUGAUGUGAAAGCCCACGGCUCAACCGUGGAGGGUCAUUGGAAACUGGAAAACUUGAGUGCAGAAGAGGAAAGUGGAAUUCCAUGUGUAGCGGUGAAAUGCGCAGAGAUAUGGAGGAACACCAGUGGCGAAGGCGACUUUCUGGUCUGUAACUGACGCUGAUGUGCGAAAGCGUGGGGAUCAAACAGGAUUAGAUACCCUGGUAGUCCACGCCGUAAACGAUGAGUGCUAAGUGUUAAGGGGUUUCCGCCCCUUAGUGCUGCAGCUAACGCAUUAAGCACUCCGCCUGGGGAGUACGACCGCAAGGUUGAAACUCAAAGGAAUUGACGGGGACCCGCACAAGCGGUGGAGCAUGUGGUUUAAUUCGAAGCAACGCGAAGAACCUUACCAAAUCUUGACAUCCUCUGACCCCUCUAGAGAUAGAGUUUUCCCCUUCGGGGGACAGAGUGACAGGUGGUGCAUGGUUGUCGUCAGCUCGUGUCGUGAGAUGUUGGGUUAAGUCCCGCAACGAGCGCAACCCUUAAGCUUAGUUGCCAUCAUUAAGUUGGGCACUCUAAGUUGACUGCCGGUGACAAACCGGAGGAAGGUGGGGAUGACGUCAAAUCAUCAUGCCCCUUAUGAUUUGGGCUACACACGUGCUACAAUGGACAAUACAAAGGGUAGCGAAACCGCGAGGUCAAGCAAAUCCCAUAAAGUUGUUCUCAGUUCGGAUUGUAGUCUGCAACUCGACUAUAUGAAGCUGGAAUCGCUAGUAAUCGUAGAUCAGCAUGCUACGGUGAAUACGUUCCCGGGUCU
RNAcentral lists this ribosomal RNA (1372 nucleotides) under uncultured bacterium. RNAcentral describes it as "bacterial SSU rRNA". It matches the Rfam family "Bacterial small subunit ribosomal RNA", at positions 28 to 1381 of the family's 1533-position model. The record is from RNAcentral.